RNAcentral lists this non-coding RNA (180 nucleotides) under Gammaproteobacteria bacterium. RNAcentral describes it as "6S RNA". It matches the Rfam family "6S / SsrS RNA". Rfam says of the family: E. coli 6S RNA was the first non coding RNA to be sequenced, but its function was unknown until recently. It consists of 184 nucleotides that fold into an extended hairpin structure with a large single-stranded internal bulge. The record is from RNAcentral. RNAcentral also lists the same sequence under 2 other names. Lineage: Bacteria; Pseudomonadati; Pseudomonadota; Gammaproteobacteria.
GUAGUCCUGCGGUGUUCGCUCUGUACGUUGGGUAUUUUCUUGAGCCUAAUUACAACCCCGGGGUUUCACGCCAGCACUGUGUGCAGGUCCGCUAGUCGGAAAGCCUAAUGGGCUGGCUGCUUACCCCACUUGAACCCUCGGUUCAAGAACGAAAGCGUCGGCGGCACAGGCGGGACUACC